GUGGCUCCAUCAGCCCCUGUCCUGGCUCCAGUGGUGCCCUCUCCAAUGGCCCCUCCCACGGCAUCUCCAGAGCCAUCCUUGGUAACUCCGACACCUGCUCCCUCAACUACCCCUGUGGUGUCACCUGCUGCUUCUCCACCUGCUCCUCCCACAAACGGACCUUCUGCGGACGAGACACCUGCUGUUGCGGAGCCAUUCACGUCUCCAAUCAACGCCAAUUCCGCCGUCUCUGUCAACAUUGAUUUUGUCGCAGCGCUGGCUUCUCUCUUCGUGGCUGCCCUCUUAUCGUAGAUCUCGCAGGAA
Molecule: long non-coding RNA, 303 nt
Filed under: Physcomitrium patens
Lineage: Eukaryota; Viridiplantae; Streptophyta; Bryopsida; Funariales; Funariaceae
Description: long non-coding RNA (PPAT_LNC004531)
Source: RNAcentral